AGUGAACGCUGGCGGUAGGCCUAACACAUGCAAGUCGAACGGCAGCACAGUAAGAGCUUGCUCUUACGGGUGGCGAGUUGCGGACGGGUGAGGAAUACAUCGGAAUCUACUUUUUCGUGGGGGAUAACGUAGGGAAACUUACGCUAAUACCGCAUACGACCUACGGGUGAAAGCAGGGGAUCUUCGGACCUUGCUCGAUUGAAUGAGCCGAUGUCGGAUUAGCUAGUUGGCGGGGUAAAGGCCCACCAAGGCGACGAUCCGUAGCUGGUCUGAGAGGAUGAUCAGCCACACUGGAACUGAGACACGGUCCAGACUCCUACGGGAGGCAGCAGUGGGGAAUAUUGGACAAUGGGCGCAAGCCUGAUCCAGCCAUACCGCGUGGGUGAAGAAGGCCUUCGGGUUGUAAAGCCCUUUUGUUGGGAAAGAAAAGCAGCAGGUUAAUACCCCGCUGUUCUGACGGUACCCAAAGAAUAAGCACCGGCUAACUUCGUG
RNAcentral lists this ribosomal RNA (492 nucleotides) under uncultured bacterium. Its description in RNAcentral is "partial 16S ribosomal RNA". It matches the Rfam family "Bacterial small subunit ribosomal RNA", at positions 29 to 507 of the family's 1533-position model. The record is from RNAcentral.